This is a long non-coding RNA of Hemiscyllium ocellatum (epaulette shark), 3910 nucleotides long. RefSeq lists it as uncharacterized. The transcript has 2 exons. The record is from RefSeq and is a predicted model, not a curated record. NCBI's taxonomy places the organism in Eukaryota, Metazoa, Chordata, Chondrichthyes, Orectolobiformes, Hemiscylliidae.
UUGCUCACUCCAAUUCCGGCUCCAAGCGGGUGAAGGCUGGAGUGCGAGACGCAGCUCGCGGUGCAGCCGUUGAACAGUGGCUCGCGCACGCGAUCCAGACGGUUCUGGUCCGCGGCCCGGCUCCUCAGUCACAACACAAGGCACACAGCCCGAGAAAUCGACUUCAAUCCUGGGAAACGAUGUGCUCUGCAAUCCCGCAACACCUCGGGCUACAGAAGUCAGGAUGCGUGGGCAUAUCGUGUGUGUGUCUUUGUGUGCAAAAGAAAGACAAUGAAGGAAGCUGAUUUGUUAGUCUUCGUUUUUAGGGAUUACGUUUAUUCGCUCUGACUGGAAACGUAAAGACUGUUGAGCCGCAUGUUACUUCUGAUGAGAUAUCCUCGGGCGUUUACAUCACGUGUGAUCUGUCUUACUCCUGAUCCUGAGAUCUCACUGAGGAGUCUUCCUCGAUGUCGACAACCGAGUAUCAGAUGUCCAACUUCCGCAUCUUUUCUAUAAACGAGCAUGAAUGAGGUUGUUGUGCGAAAGUCAACAAACCUCAACUUCCUUACUUAUUUUUAUCACAAGCUUUUUUUAAAAAUCAAAGUUACUUAUCAACUAGUAACCUACUGAAUAUGUAAAAAGUCUAUUUUAAAUACUUUUCACAGGGAAACACACCAGUAAACUUGUUUACUGUCAGAGUAGUAGUUGGAAUCACAUAUAGAAUCAUAGAAAAACUAAUGGACAGGGAAAGACCAACUGAUCUAUUCGUCCUGCCCAAUCACAGUCAUGUUGCAACUAAAUACAAUAUAGACUUUAUUUAUAGACUCUGAGAUGUACAACAUGAAAAUAGAUUUUAUUUUUAGGGAAAUGUGGAAAUUGGUGAAGUCCACAUUGAUGCCCUGGGGUUAAAGUGUUCCAAGGCAGAAGGUGAUGCGUUCUUCCUCCAGGCAUUGGGUAGUGAGGGAGUGGCGGUGAAGGAGGCCCAGGACCUGCAAGUCCUCAGCAGAGUGGGAGGGGGAGUUGAAAUGUUGGGCCAUGGGGCAGUGUGGUUGAUUGGUGCGGGUGUCCCAGAGGUGGUCCCUAAAGUGGUCUGCUAUGAGGAUGCCUAAACUUAACUCUGCUUAACUCUUACCUGCUCAUACCUUAUACACUUUCUCAAGAUAAGGAGACCAAACCUGCACACAAUAUACCAGGUGUGGCUCAUCAAUGCCCUGCAUUAUUGCAGCAAGAUAUCCUUGUUCCUGUAUUUAAACCAUCUCACUAUGAAGGCAAUAUACAGUUUGCUGUCUGCUGCCUAUUUACAAUCAGAGAAACUCUACGGUGUAGAAAGAGGCCAUUCGAUCCAUUGAGUCCAUACUGAUCCUCAGAGCAUCCCACCUAGACCUAGGCCCCCAUGCAUUUACUGUGGCUAAUCCAUCUAGCCUGCACAUCUUCAGAUUUGGGGAGGAAACCAAAAUACCUGGCAGAAACCCACAUGGACAGAACUCUAGAGAGAAUGUGCAAAUUCCACACACACAGUCAGCCUAGGCUGGAAUCAAACCUGAGUCUCUGGCACUGUGAAGCAGCAGUAUUAACCACUAAGCUACCAUGCUGCCCAUUUUCAGUGAUUGGUGCACAUGCGCACUCAAGUCUUGUUGAACAUUCCCUUUUCUCAAUUUACAGCCAUUCAAAUAAUAAUCUGCCUUCCUAUUUUUGCUACCAAAGUGGAGAACCUCACAUUUAUUAUCCUGCAUCUUCCUACCUUACUCCCACAGCCUUUCCAAAUCACACUGCCACAUCUCUGUAUCAUCCUCACAGCUCACCCUUUCUAUCCAGUUUUGUGUCAUCUGCAAAUUUUGAAACAUUUAGUCCUUUAACAUACAUCGUGAAUAACUGGGGUCCUUGUACUGAUUUCUGUGGUACCCCACUAGUCACUGCCUGACAUUCAGAAAAAAGACCCAUGUUUUCCUUCUCUUUGCUUCAAGUCUACCAAUCAAUAUUCUAUCCACCUCAAUACACUACCCCAAUUGCAUACACUUCAAUUUUACACAUUAAUCUCCUGUGGGACUUUGUUGAAAGCCUUCUGAAAGACCAAAUAAACCACAUGCACUGGUUCCCAUGAUCAGUUCUACUAGUUACAGCCUUGAAAAAUUCUAGUAGAUUUGUCAGGCACAGUUUCCCUUUUGCAAAUCUGUGCUGAAUGUAUUUGCUUCUACCACUAUUUCUAAGUGCUUUGCCAUGAAAUCCUUGGUAAAGGACUCAAUCAUCUCUAAUUCCAACAUCAGAAUCACAGAUCUAUAAUUCCCUGGCUACUUUUUAUCCCUGUAUCCUGCAACUUUUCAAACAGUAGAGUCACAUUAGCUACCCAGCAACCUGUAGGAACUGUUCAAGAGUCUAAAGAAUCUUGGAAGAUGACCACCAAUGCAUCCGUUAUUUCCAAGAAUGCUUCCUUAAGUACUCUUUGAUGUAGAUUAUCAGGCCCUGGUAGAUUUAUCAGUCUCCAUUCCUAUAAGUUUCUCCAUUUCUCCACUGCACUUGUCUCCAAUUUUGUUUUACCUUCUGGUCACUGUUAGGUCUAAACCAUGUAGUUUUUGAUUUAGAUUGGGAUCAGAUAGAAUACCAAAUUUUCAACACUAUAUGAUUGUCAACAAAAAAAUUGUAUCCUUUAUUCUCCAUACCAAUUGCUUGCUUCUGUUCUGAAAUCCACCUCCUCUAUUUGUCACCUCCAAACUCAAAUCUUCUGAUGCUCCACCAUUCCUAUUCUCUACUGUAUGCAAAUGUCAGCUGGUUUGCUGGUGUCUGUUGUACCAGGCUCAAUUCAAGUGCAGGCAAACAGAAUUAGUUUUGUUUGGGAAAUCUGCUCAGCAUGGAAAGGUCGGACUAAAGGAUCUGUUUCUGUUCUCUAUGACAUUGUUCCUUUCCUUUCUGAUCUAUGUUCGCUCAUUGUUCCACACCCAAAGCCUCCAAUUUAAAAUUCAAUUAUGUUUGUUUAAUUAUCUUUACAGGCUUGUCCCCUUCCUCUGCAAUGUAUAACUUAAUUUGGCUUCCCUAUCUCCCACUCCUGUGACUGUAAUCCAUUUUCUCAUGCUUAUUAUUAAAACAAAAUACCAUUAAAGCUAGAAAUCCAAAAUAAAAAUGGAAAAUGCUGGAGACAUUCAGCAGGUCUGGUAACAUCUGUGGAGAGAGAAACAGUUAACAUUUCAAUAAUAUAUACUAUUUAUUAAAACCAAUGGAUCUAUUUCUGAAGUUGUGAAAUCAUAGAUGGCAAGCCAGAACAAUGAGGCAAUUUUCACAGAAAUGCUGCCUUUCAAAGCAUAGGAGACCAAGCAGAAGUUGUUUUUAGACAUUCUGCUUCAAAACAUAGAGAAGAAAAGAACUUAAGAAACAGGAGUAGACGUAUGCCUUCAAGCCCAUGUGCCUUUUCGUGCAAUAUUGGGUGACCUUAAGUAUCGUUUUCCUAUACUUUAUCCCUAUAUCCCUUGAUGCUUAUGUAGAAAUCGAUCAAUCUCACUCUUGAACACAAUCAAUGACUAACAGCCCUCUGGGGUAGACAUUUCCAAAGAGACACUAUGCUGUGAAUGAAGAAAUUGUUCCAACUACCACCUUCUUCUGAGAUAGUUAACCCUGGUUCUUGACAUUCCAGACAGAUGAAACAUGGUUCCGACAUUUAUCCUGUCAAUCCCUGUUAGAAUUUUAUAUGUUUGAAUGAGGUCCCGUCUCAUUCUUCUGAAGUCCGGAGAAUACAGAUCCAGUCUACUUCACCUUUCCUCAUACAACAAUCCCAUCAUCCCAGGAAUUAGUUUGGUGAAUCUUUGUUGUCCUCUGUCGAUGUGAAGAAUAUCUUUCCUUGGCUAAGGAGACCGAAACUGCACAUUGUACUCCUAAGUCUCCAUAUUAAAUUGCAAUAAGCUUGUAUACUCAAAUCCUUUUGUAUUAAAGGCCAAUUUACUUU